CUCCGAGCGCCCAAAUCGGGAAAAUGUUUCUGUAAGCCGAGUAACUGAUCGUGCAGGUCUUGUUGAACGCGCCGACAUUUUCCUGCAAGGACCAACCAAAUCCACUCAACGACCUAAGACGCACCACAUCUUCAAUUGAGAUGUGCUUUGGAUUUUUGGCGUACCAUGAGCCGUCGGAUAGUUGAAUGCUUUCGAUGAAUUCGAUAGCGUUCUUGAUGCACACUGCAAUAUCCUUCAUGCGAUAUCCCGGAUGCAGCUUGUUGAAUAGCCUCAAGCCUUGAAUGGCUGCAGAUGUGCACUCGACAUACUGGUAGUCGAUCAUGAUGUCCCCGAAAAUCUCCACAGGAUUGAUCAUCUGUCAAUAGAUUCAUUCGAAUACAUCUCAUCAAUCAAAAGAGUUUAAUUGCCGUGGUUUCUUGUGCUUUACCUCCAACCAAGCGUAGGAUCUUGUGAGCUCGAACGACGCAAAUCCUCCACUGCUAUUCUAUGGCAAAUAAAAAGGAUGUUGUCCGUUGAGGCUAUCGCAGAAAUGAAUGUAACAUUCAAUUGUUACCUGAAACGACAAAAGCAAGUCGACUGCGUCGUGCAGCCUAUCCAGUGGUAAUGCUUUUCCGGCAAUCUCGGUUGGCAACUGCGACAGAAGAAGCGCUGCCUGCAAACCUAUGAUUAAAACUUUCUAUAGAGUUGAAUUCUUGUGGGCUAUCACAAAAAAGACUCGAACCUUGAGGCCUUCAGCCGUGCAGUCGGGGACAGCCCAGCCGUGGUCUGCUGUCGAAAAGGGCCAUCCGCCUUUCGAUCUGUGGCGAUACCAAGAGCUCGGAUUCCCAUUAUGAGCCCGUUCGAUCACCGGGCCAUAUUUGUUUUGCAGAUUAGUAGCGAGCAUUGCUUGGACAGUUAAAACAACGUCCCACAGCUGAGUCCCGUUGUAUCCUUGCAUCUUCAUGCCGUCUUCGGCCAGCCAUAGAUAGUCCU
Andrographis paniculata is the source of this 972-nucleotide long non-coding RNA. RefSeq lists it as uncharacterized. Lineage: Eukaryota; Viridiplantae; Streptophyta; Magnoliopsida; Lamiales; Acanthaceae. The record is from RefSeq and is a predicted model, not a curated record. The transcript has 3 exons.